GGUCCGUCACACAAGGCAUACCUAGGAUCAACCUCGGCACUUUGCCUACCUCAAGCAGGGUGACUUCAUCUAGGCACAUAAACGCGAGCAUUGCGCGCACCUUGCUUAUGAACCAAGGCACAAAAAAGUGCCUUUAUGAUUGUUUGUUUUGACUGUGGAUUGUAGCAAAUAUAUUGUGUAUAUGAUGAUUGUUUUGUUUGUAUAACUAUUUUGUGUGCUUGUAUUUUCAAUUUUAUAUCUUUUUGUUGGGUGUGGCUGAAAUUUUUUAUUAUGUUCAUAUGCAGAUUUUCAUGUUGUAUUGGAUUUUGUUAUUGUGCAAGUGUGUUGUGUUUACAUUUUUGUCACUAUGUGCGUAUGUGGCUGAAGUUAUUUAUUGUGUGUGGAUUUUGUGAUGUGUUUGUUUAUGUUGUUUUUAUUGUCAAAUAUGUCUAAGUCAUGAAUUUGUUAUGUUCAUGUACAUACAUACUUAUGUGUAUACAUGUAUGUAGACAUGCACAAACACCUAGUUUAUUAAUAUAUUUGUAUAAAUGCUAGUUUAUAUGAGAAUUGGCAACUUGCAGAAAAUAAGCAUACCAGAUUUCUUAAAGAUUCUUUUCAAGGUACAAUGUUUAUUAAGGAAAGUGGAAGGAUUUUGAGUCCAAAUAUGCAUUUGGGCUCC
This 658-nucleotide long non-coding RNA is filed under the name Phoenix dactylifera (date palm). Its description in RNAcentral is "long non-coding RNA (PDAC_LNC019870)". The record is from RNAcentral. Lineage: Eukaryota; Viridiplantae; Streptophyta; Magnoliopsida; Arecales; Arecaceae.